CGCAUAUUUUUUAUUUGCAGAUAGAGAAGAGAACAAAGUGCGUUGGAGUUGGAGCUGGGAACGAUGGUGGCCCUCACAGCUAGCUUCGCACCAGCACCAGCAACAGCAACAAUUACAAUGCCGAUGAAGAAACGCAGUGGUGGGACAGUGUGUUUCGCCUAGUUGUCGUUCCCUUCGUUUCUCCCAAAGCAAGUGGAGAAUAUCAAAGACACUUUCGCUUGUAAGCUCGCCACGAGGAUUGACAGACUUCCUGUACCUGUCAGCUUCUCAGAUAAUAGUAUCAUGAGUAGUUGUGUGAGGCCAUUAAUAUAGAGCAAGACAAGUCUAGUAGUUCUUCUCCAUGGUUUUGACAGCUCCUGUUUAGAAUGGAGGUACACGUAUCCGUUGCUUGAGGAGGCUGGUUUUGAGACUUAGGCUGUGGACAUACUUGGUUGGGGUUUCUCUGAUUUAGAAAGGCUUCCACCAUGUAAUGUGGCAUCUAAGCGUGAACACUUUUAUCUGCUUUGGAAAUCACACAUCAAAAGGCCAAUUAUAUUGGUUGGAACAAGCCUUGGUGCUACUGUUGCAAUUGACUUUGUGGUUAACCAUCCAGAAGCCAAGGCACAGGAAAUCUAGCAACUUUGCCCAGAAUUGCAGCAUAUAUAAGGCC
Molecule: long non-coding RNA, 649 nt
Organism: Quercus robur (English oak)
Lineage: Eukaryota; Viridiplantae; Streptophyta; Magnoliopsida; Fagales; Fagaceae
Exons: 6
Source: RefSeq, a predicted model, not a curated record